UCAGUGUUGAUGUAUUAUGUAAUGAGAUAGGUAUUGUUUGAUAGUUAUGUUCAGGUAGUUAGUUACAUUGGAUACAUAAUCUGGAAUUGCAAUACUAGCUAGGUUUGACUAAGGUUAAGUUCUAAAACGUGCCAUCUAAAAUAUGCUCCUUUUUACAGACUUAAAGACCAAUGGAUAAUAGUUUUUCCUGGAACUGAUCGGUCCCGACGAUCAGUUGCCUCAGGAUUUGAGGAUGCAUAUGGUCUGCCAAAUAUCUUGGGUGUAGUAGACUGCACUCAAGUGAAAAUAUUUCCCACCUGUGCCACACGGAGUGCAAUAUCUGAAUCGGAAAGGCGUUCACGCUCUUAAUGUACAGCUAAUUGCAGAUGUCAACUGUAAGAUCUUGGCAGUAAACAAGAGGUUUCCUGGCCGUGUGCACGACUCUUUCAUAUUUAACAAUUCGUCCAUUUAGGAUGAAUUAAGAAGAUUGUACAAUGGCCACAUUGGGGAGUAUUUCCUUCUGGGUAAGCAGAAAAUUGUGUAUCUGUACCUAGUGUAAAUUUAUUCGAUGGGGAGACGUGACGUACGCGUUUGCGUUAACUGUCAUUUUGUAUGGAAUUUUGAGUUUCCAAAACAUCCCGCUUGGCGCGCUGUUUCUAAAUCCCUUAGCACCACUUGCACCAUUUCACUAACUCGGGGUUAACUGGUUAACCCUGGAGUUACCAUGUUACCAGUACAAUUUCACAUUGGGUUAACGGUUUAACCGGUUAACCCCGGGUUAUUGGAAUGGGGCAAGUGCAUGUUAGUAAAUGUACUAAGAUCACGACCACAGAAUAAAUAGUUCAUGACUAAGUUAAUAUACCUAUCAUAAUGUAAAUAACCGGCCAAGAGCAUGUCGGGCCACGCUCAGUGUAGGGUUCCGUAGUUACUCUUCCGUCACAAUAAGCUAAACUGGAGCUUAAAGUGUAGUAAAUGGUACCUUUCACCCGAGUUAAACAAAUAGGCAAAUUUGCAUAAUCAGUACCUAAUUAAAGAAGUCUUUUUACUAUGAAGGGAAAACUUUUUGCGAUAACUCAAAAACAGCUAAACUGAUCAUGUCCGCUAUAGUUUUCAUUUAAUGUCUUUCUUAAGCUCUACUUCCACGAUUUUUUUCAUAUUUUUUGGACCUAUGGUUCAAAAGUUAGAGGGGGGGGACACAUUUUUUUUUUCUUUCGGAGCGAUUAUCUCCGAAUAUAUUCACUUUAUCAAAAAAUGUUUCUUGAAAACCCCUAUUAGUUUUGAAAGACCUUUCCAACGAUACCCCACACUUUAGGGUUGAAGCGAAAAAAAAAAUUCACCCCCACUUUACGUGUAGGGGAGGUACCCUAAAAAAAAUUAAAAUUUUAGAUUUUAUUGUACGACUUUGUCGGCUUUAUUGAUUUAUAUAUCCAUGCCAAAUUUCAGCUUUCUAACACUAACGACCACGGAGCAAAGCCUCGGACAGACAGACAGACAGACAGACGGACAUGGCGAAACUAUAAGGGUUCCGUUUUAUGCCAUUUGGCUACGGAACCCUAAAAAGGCAUAAGCAAGGGGGAAGUUUCGUUAGUUGUUCAGAUGAUUAAGUAUUAUGUAACCAAAAAAUAAUAAUUUCAGGUGACUCGGGGUAUGCUCUUGAGCCAUGGCUCAUGACGCCAGUGCUGAAUCCUGCCCCGGGAAGCCCAGAAGCAAGGUACACGGUCUGGCACUGUCGCGUGCGCAACACGAUCAAGCGUACCAAUGGGUACCUCAAAAACGUAUUCCGGUGCCUGGGCCACGACCGCGUCUUACACUACAGCCCGACGAAGGCAUCGUCAAUAAUAAAUGCAUGUUGCGUAGUAUACAACAUAAUGCAACAUUAUAGAAAUGUUCCCGAGGAAAUCGUAGGAGAUAUUGAUGAAGACGCUCCUCAAGAACUUCCUCAUCGUCAUGCGCAAAACGGACUACUAUUAAGAGUGGCGCAGGAAAAGCGUGCGCGUCUAAUAAAUACAUAUUUUGCUUA
This is a long non-coding RNA of Cydia pomonella (codling moth), 1999 nucleotides long. RefSeq lists it as uncharacterized. Lineage: Eukaryota; Metazoa; Arthropoda; Insecta; Lepidoptera; Tortricidae. The record is from RefSeq and is a predicted model, not a curated record. The transcript is spliced from 3 exons.